GCCACACAGUCAGUAUGGUGGAUAUGACUCUCGGCUUGUAACACAGUGGACUCGGGUUCGAAUCCCGAACUAGGCA
Non-coding RNA from Trichonephila inaurata madagascariensis, 76 nucleotides. The record is from the annotation of a GenBank genome assembly. NCBI's taxonomy places the organism in Eukaryota, Metazoa, Arthropoda, Arachnida, Araneae, Nephilidae.